UACGGAGGGUGCAAGCGUUGUCCGGAUUUAUUGGGUUUAAAGGGUGCGUAGGCGGCUUUUUAAGUCAGUGGUGAAAUCCAUCAGCUUAACUGAUGAAUUGCCAUUGAUACUGGAGAGCUUGAGUACAGACGAGGUAGGCGGAAUUUAUGGUGUAGCGGUGAAAUGCAUAGAUACCAUAAAGAACACCGAUUGCGAAGGCAGCUUACUAGGCUGUAACUGACGCUGAGGCACGAAAGUGUGGGGAUCAAACAGG
Molecule: ribosomal RNA, 253 nt
Filed under: uncultured bacterium
Lineage: Bacteria
Description: partial 16S ribosomal RNA
Rfam family: Bacterial small subunit ribosomal RNA
Source: RNAcentral